This 223-nucleotide ribosomal RNA is filed under the name uncultured bacterium. RNAcentral's name for it is "partial 16S ribosomal RNA". It matches the Rfam family "Bacterial small subunit ribosomal RNA", at positions 118 to 334 of the family's 1533-position model. The record is from RNAcentral.
UAGGUAACCUGCCCAUGUGUCCGGGAUAACUGCUGGAAACGGUAGCUAAAACCGGAUAGGUAUACGGAGCGCAUGCUCUGUAUAUUAAAGCGCCCAUCAAGGCGUGAACAUGGAUGGACCUGCGGCGCAUUAGCUAGUUGGUGAGGUAACGGCCCACCAAGGCGAUGAUGCGUAGCCGGCCUGAGAGGGUAAACGGCCACAUUGGGACUGAGACACGGCCCAA